Molecule: ribosomal RNA, 506 nt
Filed under: uncultured bacterium
Lineage: Bacteria
Description: partial 16S ribosomal RNA
Rfam family: Bacterial small subunit ribosomal RNA
Source: RNAcentral
AGUGAACGCUGGCGGUAGGCCUAACACAUGCAAGUCGAACGGCAGCACAGGAGAGCUUGCUCUCUGGGUGGCGAGUGGCGGACGGGUGAGGAAUACAUCGGAAUCUACUCUGUCGUGGAGGAUAACGUAGGGAAACUUACGCUAAUACCGCAUACGACCUACGGGUGAAAGCAGGGGACCUUCGGGCCUUGCGCGAUUGAAUGAGCCGAUGUCGGAUUAGCUAGUUGGCGGGGUAAAGGCCCACCGAGGCGACGAUCCGUAGCUGGUCUGAGAGGAUGAUCAGCCACACUGGAACUGAGACACGGUCCAGACUCCUACGGGAGGCAGCAGUGGGGAAUAUUGGACAAUGGGCGCAAGCCUGAUCCAGCCAUACCGCGUGGGUGAAGAAGGCCUUCGGGUUGUAAAGCCCUUUUGUUGGGAAAGAAAUCCAGCUGGCUAAUACCCGGUUGGGAUGACGGUACCCAAAGAAUAAGCACCGGCUAACUUCGUGCCAGCCGCCGCGGUAA